CCUGAGAAACCCAAAAGAUCGAAUGGGGAGAUUCAUCGUCAGCUCAUUUUGUAUAUAUAUAAGUUAUGAUGCGAGUUACUACUUGUAGUAUUGCUUGCACAUUCUUAUAUAUUUAGUUGCAAGAUGUUGUCGGCGUGCACUUCUCUCCUAGUAGGACGUCGCGACCCGUUGGGUGUCGGUCUACGGCCCAAAUGGUAGUCUUUAAUAUUUUUAAAUUAUAUUAAAGUCCAUUGGUGUUUUCUGACCGGCUACUCGGCGGUACACGUACGGUAUUAAGCCGCAAAAUAAUAUAAUAUGCGUCCAUUCCCGUCGCAAGCGAGGCCUACUGAUAGUACGGACCUAGUGCCGUCGUUGGUAUUGGCCAGCUGUUGGUUGUUACGGUGUUCUAGGACUGGCUUUAAUAUAAAUACCGGUCAGCGAUGCUACUGCUUUGGGUACUUUCAGGACCCGUCUUGAAACACGGACCAAGGAGUCUAACAUGUGCGCAAGUCAUUGGGAUAUUUUUUUUAAAUUAAACCUAAAGGCGUAAUGAAAGUAAAGGUCGUCCUUGCGUCGACUGAGGGAGGAUGAGUUAUGUUAUGAUAUAGCUCCGCACUCCCGGGGCGUCUCAUUCUUAUUAUAAGAAGAGGCGCACUUAG
Molecule: ribosomal RNA, 638 nt
Filed under: Myocron sp. 1 AZR-2008
Lineage: Eukaryota; Metazoa; Arthropoda; Insecta; Hymenoptera; Braconidae
Description: eukaryotic LSU rRNA
Rfam family: Eukaryotic large subunit ribosomal RNA
Source: RNAcentral